UAAUUGAAGAGUUUGAUCAUGGCUCAGAUUGAACGCUGGCGGCAGGCCUAACACAUGCAAGUCGAGCGGCAGCGACAACAUUGAACCUUCGGGGGAUUUGUUGGGCGGCGAGCGGCGGACGGGUGAGUAAUGCCUGGGAAAUUGCCCUGAUGUGGGGGAUAACCAUUGGAAACGAUGGCUAAUACCGCAUGAUAGCUUCGGCUCAAAGAGGGGGACCUUCGGGCCUCUCGCGUCAGGAUAUGCCCAGGUGGGAUUAGCUAGUUGGUGAGGUAAGGGCUCACCAAGGCGACGAUCCCUAGCUGGUCUGAGAGGAUGAUCAGCCACACUGGAACUGAGACACGGUCCAGACUCCUACGGGAGGCAGCAGUGGGGAAUAUUGCACAAUGGGCGCAAGCCUGAUGCAGCCAUGCCGCGUGUAUGAAGAAGGCCUUCGGGUUGUAAAGUACUUUCAGCAGUGAGGAAGGAGGUAUCGUUAAUAGCGGUAUCUUUUGACGUUAGCUGCAGAAGAAGCACCGGCUAACUCCGUGCCAGCAGCCGCGGUAAUACGGAGGGUGCGAGCGUUAAUCGGAAUUACUGGGCGUAAAGCGCAUGCAGGUGGUUUGUUAAGUCAGAUGUGAAAGCCCGGGGCUCAACCUCGGAAUUGCAUUUGAAACUGGCAGGCUAGAGUACUGUAGAGGGGGGUAGAAUUUCAGGUGUAGCGGUGAAAUGCGUAGAGAUCUGAAGGAAUACCGGUGGCGAAGGCGGCCCCCUGGACAGAUACUGACACUCAGAUGCGAAAGCGUGGGGAGCAAACAGGAUUAGAUACCCUGGUAGUCCACGCCGUAAACGAUGUCUACUUGGAGGUUGUGGCCUUGAGCCGUGGCUUUCGGAGCUAACGCGUUAAGUAGACCGCCUGGGGAGUACGGUCGCAAGAUUAAAACUCAAAUGAAUUGACGGGGGCCCGCACAAGCGGUGGAGCAUGUGGUUUAAUUCGAUGCAACGCGAAGAACCUUACCUACUCUUGACAUCCAGAGAACUUAGCAGA
This 1024-nucleotide ribosomal RNA is filed under the name Vibrio fluvialis. Its description in RNAcentral is "bacterial SSU rRNA". It matches the Rfam family "Bacterial small subunit ribosomal RNA", at positions 1 to 1004 of the family's 1533-position model. The record is from RNAcentral. Lineage: Bacteria; Pseudomonadati; Pseudomonadota; Gammaproteobacteria; Vibrionales; Vibrionaceae.